This 591-nucleotide ribosomal RNA is filed under the name uncultured Bacteroidales bacterium. RNAcentral's name for it is "bacterial SSU rRNA". It matches the Rfam family "Bacterial small subunit ribosomal RNA", at positions 94 to 682 of the family's 1533-position model. The record is from RNAcentral. Lineage: Bacteria; Pseudomonadati; Bacteroidota; Bacteroidia; Bacteroidales.
ACCGGCGCACGGGUGAGUAACGCGUAUGCAACUUGCCUAUCAGAGGGGGAUAACCCGGCGAAAGUCGGACUAAUACCGCAUGAAGCAGGGGCCCCGCAUGGGGAUAUUUGCUAAAGAUUCAUCGCUGAUAGAUAGGCAUGCGUUCCAUUAGGCAGUUGGCGGGGUAACGGCCCACCAAACCGACGAUGGAUAGGGGUUCUGAGAGGAAGGUCCCCCACAUUGGUACUGAGACACGGACCAAACUCCUACGGGAGGCAGCAGUGAGGAAUAUUGGUCAAUGGGCGUAAGCCUGAACCAGCCAAGUCGCGUGAGGGAUGAAGGUUCUAUGGAUCGUAAACCUCUUUUAUAAGGGAAUAAAGUGCGGGACGUGUCCCGUUUUGUAUGUACCUUAUGAAUAAGGAUCGGCUAACUCCGUGCCAGCAGCCGCGGUAAUACGGAGGAUCCGAGCGUUAUCCGGAUUUAUUGGGUUUAAAGGGUGCGUAGGCGGCCCCUUAAGUCAGCGGUGAAAGUCUGUGGCUCAACCAUAGAAUUGCCGUUGAAACUGGGAGGCUUGAGUAUGUUUGAGGCAGGCGGAAUGCGUGGUGUAGCGGU